Molecule: non-coding RNA, 131 nt
Organism: Caldalkalibacillus thermarum TA2.A1
Lineage: Bacteria; Bacillati; Bacillota; Bacilli; Caryophanales; Bacillaceae
Source: Rfam
GAGAUGGCAUCCUCCGGGAGCCAUACUCAUGUCCUGUUAGAUGAGGACACGGUGAGUUGAAAACUGCAAUAAUCUUUUAGACAAGUUCAACGCUCAAUCUGCCUUGAACCUUUAUGGACAGGGACAGAGGG